This 433-nucleotide ribosomal RNA is filed under the name uncultured bacterium. RNAcentral describes it as "partial 16S ribosomal RNA". It matches the Rfam family "Bacterial small subunit ribosomal RNA", at positions 29 to 507 of the family's 1533-position model. The record is from RNAcentral.
AACGAACGCUGGCGGCAUGCCUAACACAUGCAAGUCGAACGAGACCUUCGGGUCUAGUGGCGCACGGGUGCGUAACGCGUGGGAACCUGCCCUUAGGUUCGGAAUAACUCCCCGAAAGGGGUGCUAAUACCGGAUAAUGUCUUCGGACCAAAGAUUUAUCGCCUUUGGAUGGGCCCGCGUUGGAUUAGCUAGUUGGUAGGGUAAAAGCCUACCAAGGCGACGAUCCAUAGCUGGUCUGAGAGGAUGAUCAGCCACACUGGGACUGAGACACGGCCCAGACUCCUACGGGAGGCAGCAGUGGGGAAUAUUGGACAGUGGGCGAAAGGCUGAUCCAGCAAUGCCGGGUGAGUGAUGAAGGCCUUAGGGUUGUAAAGCUCGUUUACCCGGGAUGAUAAUGACAGUACCGGAAGAAUAAGCACCGGCUAACUCCGUG